This is a long non-coding RNA of Vicia villosa (hairy vetch), 967 nucleotides long. RefSeq lists it as uncharacterized. The record is from RefSeq and is a predicted model, not a curated record. Lineage: Eukaryota; Viridiplantae; Streptophyta; Magnoliopsida; Fabales; Fabaceae. The transcript has 3 exons.
UAACCUCAAAAGAAAAAGGGGAAAUUAGGGUUAACAUGUGACGUUCCCUAUUCUCAGUCCUCACUCUCCUCUCACAGCGGCGCCGGAGAAAUUCUUCUCCGAGCGAUCGCUCUCCCUCGCCGUCUCGACCUCUCACGUCCCCGACCUACGUUCUACUCUCUUCUCUUGAACGGCGACGACGGAGAUCUUAUCCUCUCCGAUCGGUUCCUCUAUUCCGCCGUCGCAAAUCGACGUCACCUCCUCUCUCAAUCUCAUCUUAGAUCAAAAACUUCAUCUUUUAUUCUAACGAAAACGAAAACUAAUCUCCUCAUGCGCUAUUCGCUAAAUCAAACUGAAAAUGAUACCGAAUUGGAACGAGGAAUUCAGCAGAGCGUGAAGAUUACCUGAAAUAGAGAUUGAAAUGAGGGAACAGGAAGACGGAGAGGAGAAUCCGAGCGUCUGCGUAUGCGAAAUAAACGCAAUGCGUGAAGAAAUUUCUCAGGUGGUACGAAUCCGUUUUGCAGGGCUGGAGUUUGUUCUUCUUCACUUCUGUUUUGUAGGGUUAAUGUUGGCUGUAGGUGUACAGGCUGCUUAAUGACGUAUCGAUGUAUCGGCUCGCCGCAUGUUUGCUUCUGUUAUAGCAAAAGGUGAAGGAGGAUAUGAAGAGCAUGGCUGUAACGAAGUAGUAUGUCGUGAAUCUUCAAUGGUAUACGGCAAUGAGGAGAGACUUAGGUGUUAGGCUCUGCGUAUAACCUUAGAUGUAAACUCCUUAGUGCAAUGUAAUAAUGAUAUUUGCAGUAAACUCUGUAUUUUAUUUGUAAUGCACUCUUGGAUUUUGUAAUGGAUAAAGCUUGAAUUAAAUAGUGUAUGAAAUUGUAAUGGAGCUUGCAAAUGGUCUUUUUUGUUGAAUUGAAGAUAACUUGUAAUAAUUUGUAAUGGAAUUAGGGAUGAGACUGUGUGGAAAUGGAUGAUGGCUUUUUGUAGUGUU